RNAcentral lists this ribosomal RNA (200 nucleotides) under uncultured bacterium. RNAcentral's name for it is "partial 16S ribosomal RNA". It matches the Rfam family "Bacterial small subunit ribosomal RNA", at positions 8 to 214 of the family's 1533-position model. The record is from RNAcentral.
AGAGUUUGAUCCUGGCUCAGAUUGAACGCUGGCGGCAUGCCUUACACAUGCAAGUCGAACGGGCUUUGGGGCUUGCUCCAAAGUUAGUGGCGAACGGGUGAGUAAUAUAUCGGAACGUACCCUUGAGUGGGGGGAUAACAUAGCGAAAGUUAUGCUAAUACCGCAUACGAUCUAAGGAUGAAAGUGGGGGACCGCAAGGC